CUAACUAACUGCAUCUGCAGUGACCACGUUCCCAAACAGGCCGCAUGCUGAGGCCUGGGGAAGAGUACUGCAAUAUAUGAAUCACUGCCCCACAGAAUGCAACCCUGAACAACUCCGAAUGCCUGCUGUGCGGGGCAGGGACUCUGUCACGCUGUUCUGUCUCUGGCCCAGAGGAAAGACCCGGCACUGCGGUUUAUGGGCACUGGCUGUCCGCCAGAAGAAGCCGGUGAAGGGGAAGGUGGAGGAAGGUAAGUCCUCAGACUCCUCCCCUUGCGCUGGAAGACCCUGUCUCCUCCGCUCGACUGACUUCCAGA
RNAcentral lists this long non-coding RNA (314 nucleotides) under Chinchilla lanigera (long-tailed chinchilla). RNAcentral's name for it is "lncRNA (ENSCLAG00000025008.1)". Lineage: Eukaryota; Metazoa; Chordata; Mammalia; Rodentia; Chinchillidae. The record is from RNAcentral.